Molecule: ribosomal RNA, 253 nt
Filed under: uncultured bacterium
Lineage: Bacteria
Description: partial 16S ribosomal RNA
Rfam family: Bacterial small subunit ribosomal RNA
Source: RNAcentral
UACGGGGGGAGCAAGCGUUGUUCGGAUUUACUGGGCGUAAAGGGCGCGUAGGCGGCGCGGUAAGUCACUUGUGAAAUCUCUGAGCUUAACUCAGAACGGCCAAGUGAUACUGCAGUGCUAGAGUGUGGAAGGGGCAAUCGGAAUUCUUGGUGUAGCGGUGAAAUGCGUAGAUAUCAAGAGGAACACCUGAGGUGAAGACGGGUUGCUGGGCCAACACUGACGCUGAGGCGCGAAAGCCAGGGGAGCAAACAGG